RNAcentral lists this ribosomal RNA (156 nucleotides) under uncultured bacterium. RNAcentral's name for it is "partial 16S ribosomal RNA". It matches the Rfam family "Bacterial small subunit ribosomal RNA", at positions 356 to 508 of the family's 1533-position model. The record is from RNAcentral.
CGAGAAUCUUCGGCAAUGGGCGAAAGCCUGACCGAGCGACGCCGCGUGCGGGAUGAAGGUCUUCGGAUUGUAAACCGCUGUCAGAGGGGAUGAAGUUAUGGUGGGUUCUCCCUCCAUAUUGACAGAGCCUCAGAGAAGCACGGGCUAAGUAUGUGC